This 642-nucleotide ribosomal RNA is filed under the name Achromobacter insolitus. Its description in RNAcentral is "bacterial SSU rRNA". It matches the Rfam family "Bacterial small subunit ribosomal RNA", at positions 197 to 820 of the family's 1533-position model. Lineage: Bacteria; Pseudomonadati; Pseudomonadota; Betaproteobacteria; Burkholderiales; Alcaligenaceae. The record is from RNAcentral.
UGGGGGAAAGCUGGGGAUCUACUGACCUUGUUCUAUGGUUGGGGAUGAUAUCGGAUUAGCUAGUUGGUGGGGUAACGGCUCGGCUCGCGACGAUCCGUAGCUGGUUUGAGAGGACGACCAUGAACACUGGGACUGAGACUCAGACCAGACUCCUACUGGAGGCAGAGGUGGGGAAUUUUGGACAAUGGGGGAAACCCUGAUCCAGAUGUCCCGCGUGUGCGAUGAAGGCCUUCGGGUUGUAAUUGACUUUUGGCAGGAAAGAAACAUUCCGGGUUAAUACCCCGGGAAACUGACGGUACCUGCUAAAUACGCACCGGCUAACUACGUGCCACCAGCCGCGGUAAUACGUUCGGUGCUUGCGGUAAUCGGAAUUACUGGACGCAAAGCGUGCGCACGGCGUUCGGAUCCAAAGAUGUGAACUCCCGCCUCUUAACUUUGCAACUGCACUUUUAACUACCGAGCUAGAUUGUGUCACAGGGAGGUGGAAUUCCACGUGUAGCAUAUGAAAUGCGUAGAUAUGCGGAGGAACACCGAUGGCGAACGCAGCCUCCUGGGAUAACACUGACGCUCAUGCACGAAACGCGUGUGGAUCAAACAGGAUUACAUACCCUGGUAGUCCACGAACUAAACGAUGUCACUAUC